GACUUCAGUCGUCUGCCGGCGGCUGGGUGAGUCAGAAACCAUUGCGAUAGGCGAAGGACAUGCGAAAGGUCCGGCGUAGAGGGUAAGACCCCCGUAGCUGAAAUCGUGAUGGCUUGCUUGUCUAUUUCCCAAGUAGCACGGGGCCCGAGAAAUCCCGUGUGAAUCUGGCGGGACCACCCGCUAAGCCUAAAUAUUCCCUGGUGACCGAUAGCGGAUAGUACCGUGAGGGAAUGGUGAAAAGUACCGCGGGAGCGGAGUGAAAUAGUACCUGAAACCGUGUGCCUACAAGCCGUGGGAGCGUCGGACAUCAGCUUGCUGGUGUCUCGUGACUGCGUGCCUUUUGAAGAAUGAGCCUGCGAGUUUGCGGUGUGUUGCGAGGUUAACCCGUGUGGGGAAGCCGUAGCGAAAGCGAGUCCGAAUAGGGCGUUAGAGUAGCGCGCUCAAGACCCGAAGCGGAGUGAUCUAGCCAUGGGCAGGUUGAAGCGGAGGUAAGACUUCGUGGAGGACCGAACCCACCAGGGUUGAAAACCUGGGGGAUGACCUGUGGUUAGGGGUGAAAGGCCAAUCAAACUCCGUGAUAGCUGGUUCUCCCCGAAAUGCAUUUAGGUGCAGCGUCGUGUGUUUCUUGCCGGAGGUAGAGCACUGGAUAGGCGAUGGGCCCUACCGGGUUACUGACCUUAGCCAAACUCCGAAUGCCGGUAAGUGAGAGCGCGGCAGUGAGACUGUGGGGGAUAAGCUCCAUGGUCGAGAGGGAAACAGCCCAGAGCAUCGACUAAGGCCCCUAAGCGUACGCUAAGUGGGAAAGGAUGUGGAGUCGCAGAGACAACCAGGAGGUUGGCUUAGAAGCAGCCAUCCUUGAAAGAGUGCGUAAUAGCUCACUGGUCAAGUGAUUCCGCGCCGACAAUGUAGCGGGGCUCAAGCGUACCGCCGAAGUCGUGUCAUUGCAGCAUGUGGUCCAACGACCGUUGUGAUGGGUAGGGGAGCGUCGUGUGCCGGGUGAAGCAGCCGUGUAAGCGAGUUGUGGAUGGUUCACGAGUGAGAAUGCAGGCAUGAGUAGCGAUACACACGUGGGAAACGUGUGCGCCGAUUGACUAAGGGUUCCUGGGUCAAGCUGAUCUGCCCAGGGUAAGUCGGGACCUAAGGCGAGGCCGACAGGCGUAGUCGAUGGACAACCGGUUGAUAUUCCGGUACCCGCUUUGAAGCGCCAACGUCGAACCAGGCGAUGCUAAGUCCGUGAAGCCGCCCUGAUCUCUUCGGAGUUGAGGGGAGUGGUGGAGCCGACGGUCCAGACCUGUAGUAGGUGAGUGAUGGGGUGACGCAGGAAGGUAGUCCAGCCCGGGCGGUGGUUGUCCCGGGGUAAGGGUGUAGCCCGAGGAGUAGGUAAAUCCGUUCCUCUUUAGGGGUGAGACCUGAUGCCGAGCCGAUUGUGGUGAAGUGGAUGAUCCUAUGCUGUCGAGAAAAGCCUCUAGCGAGUUUCAUGGCGGCCCGUACCCUAAACCGACUCAGGUGGUCAGGUAGAGAAUACCGAGGCGUUCGGGUGAACUAUGGUUAAGGAACUCGGCAAAAUGCCCCCGUAACUUCGGGAGAAGGGGGGCCAUUGCUGGUGAUGGGAUUUUCUCCUUGAGCUGGUGGUGGCCGCAGAGACCAGCGAGAAGCGACUGUUUACUAAAAACACAGGUCCGUGCGAAGCCGUAAGGCGAUGUAUACGGACUGACGCCUGCCCGGUGCUGGAACGUUAAGGGGACCGGUUAGUCACAUUUCGGUGUGGCGAAGCUGAGAACUUAAGCGCCAGUAAACGGCGGUGGUAACUAUAACCAUCCUAAGGUAGCGAAAUUCCUUGUCGGGUAAGUUCCGACCUGCACGAAUGGCGUAACGACUUCUCGACUGUCUCAACCAUAGGCCCGGUGAAAUUGCACUACGAG
RNAcentral lists this ribosomal RNA (1922 nucleotides) under Streptomyces niphimycinicus. RNAcentral's name for it is "Streptomyces sp. 4503 partial 23S ribosomal RNA". It matches the Rfam family "Bacterial large subunit ribosomal RNA", at positions 277 to 2053 of the family's 2925-position model. The record is from RNAcentral. Lineage: Bacteria; Bacillati; Actinomycetota; Actinomycetes; Kitasatosporales; Streptomycetaceae.